AACGCACAUGGCGCCUUCCAGUAUCCUGGGAGGCAUGCCUGUCCGAGCGUCGUUUCAACCCUCGAGCCCCCCGUGGCCCGGCGUUGGGGAUCUGCCACGGCAGGCCCCGAAAUCCAGUGGCGGACCCGCUGGGCCCUCUCCUUGCGUAGUAGCAUCAGCCUCGCAUCGGGAGCCCGCGUGGCAUCCUGCCCCUAAACCCCCCACAAGCCCGCCCCGGCGGCACCAAGGUUGACCUCGGAUCAGGUAGGAAUACCCGCUGAACUUAA
RNAcentral lists this unclassified non-coding RNA (266 nucleotides) under uncultured fungus. RNAcentral's name for it is "sequence contains ITS2". Lineage: Eukaryota; Fungi. The record is from RNAcentral.